RNAcentral lists this long non-coding RNA (288 nucleotides) under Ananas comosus (pineapple). RNAcentral describes it as "long non-coding RNA (ACOM_LNC041482)". The record is from RNAcentral. Lineage: Eukaryota; Viridiplantae; Streptophyta; Magnoliopsida; Poales; Bromeliaceae.
AUCAUAUAUGCCUAUUCAUACAUAAGCAUCUAGCAUUUAUGUCAUAUAUCGACAAUCAUAUUCAUAUAUGCAUCAAUGAAACCAUACUUUACUUUGACAUGGAAGUGACCUAAUCACUUCGGUAAAGCACAACCCAUCUUUACUUGGUACUAGAAUGAGAGAAAUCCACUUCUCGCACUUUUCCACGAAUCGCGACCCGCGUUCCCGACACUUGUCGCCGAAAAUGUUCUUUUGGCGAUAUCUUCGCGUAGGCUCGACGGAUUGCCGAACCGACUUCGCAAACGUGUU